RNAcentral lists this ribosomal RNA (641 nucleotides) under Frondihabitans sp. I15A-00517. Its description in RNAcentral is "bacterial SSU rRNA". It matches the Rfam family "Bacterial small subunit ribosomal RNA", at positions 93 to 741 of the family's 1533-position model. The record is from RNAcentral. Lineage: Bacteria; Bacillati; Actinomycetota; Actinomycetes; Micrococcales; Microbacteriaceae.
UAGUGGCGAACGGGUGAGUAACACGUGAGUAACCUGCCCUUGACUCUGGGAUAAGCGUUGGAAACGACGUCUAAUACCGGAUAUGACCCCUACCGGCAUCGGUUGGGGGUGGAAAGAUUUUUUGGUCAAGGAUGGACUCGCGGCCUAUCAGGUAGUUGGUGAGGUAAUGGCUCACCAAGCCGACGACGGGUAGCCGGCCUGAGAGGGUGACCGGCCACACUGGGACUGAGACACGGCCCAGACUCCUACGGGAGGCAGCAGUGGGGAAUAUUGCACAAUGGGCGAAAGCCUGAUGCAGCAACGCCGCGUGAGGGACGACGGCCUUCGGGUUGUAAACCUCUUUUAGUAGGGAAGAAGGGAGCUUGCUCUUGACGGUACCUGCAGAAAAAGCACCGGCUAACUACGUGCCAGCAGCCGCGGUAAUACGUAGGGUGCAAGCGUUGUCCGGAAUUAUUGGGCGUAAAGAGCUCGUAGGCGGUUUGUCGCGUCUGCUGUGAAAUCUGGGGGCUCAACCCCCAGCCUGCAGUGGGUACGGGCAGACUAGAGUGCGGUAGGGGAGAUUGGAAUUCCUGGUGUAGCGGUGGAAUGCGCAGAUAUCAGGAGGAACACCGAUGGCGAAGGCAGAUCUCUGGGCCGUAACU